RNAcentral lists this ribosomal RNA (459 nucleotides) under Alburnoides eichwaldii (South Caspian spirlin). RNAcentral's name for it is "SSU rRNA". It matches the Rfam family "Eukaryotic small subunit ribosomal RNA", at positions 43 to 466 of the family's 1831-position model. The record is from RNAcentral. Lineage: Eukaryota; Metazoa; Chordata; Actinopteri; Cypriniformes; Leuciscidae.
AUUAAGCCAUGCAGGUCUAAGUGCACACGGUCGGUACAGUGAAACUGCGAAUGGCUCAUUAAAUCAGUUAUGGUUCCUUUGAUCGCUCCACCCGCUACUUGGAUAACUGUGGCAAUUCCAGAGCUAAUACAUGCAAACGAGCGCCGACCCGGCUCCCCUCGGGGGGUCGGGGACGCGUGCAUUUAUCAGAUCCAAAACCCAUCCGGGGUCGGCUCCGGCCGCCCCGGCCGCUUUGGUGACUCUAGAUAACCUCGGGCCGAUCGCGCGCCCUCCGCGGCGGCGACGACUCAUUCGAAUGUCUGCCCUAUCAACUUUCGAUGGUACAUUCGGCGCCUACCAUGGUGACCACGGGUAACGGGGAAUCAGGGUUCGAUUCCGGAGAGGGAGCCUGAGAAACGGCUACCACAUCCAAGGAAGGCAGCAGGCGCGCAAAUUACCCAUUUCCGACACGGAGAGGUA